RNAcentral lists this ribosomal RNA (681 nucleotides) under uncultured bacterium. RNAcentral describes it as "bacterial SSU rRNA". It matches the Rfam family "Bacterial small subunit ribosomal RNA", at positions 584 to 1254 of the family's 1533-position model. The record is from RNAcentral.
CAAGUCAGAUGUGAAAGCCUUCUGUUCAACGGAAGAAUUGCAUCUGAAACUGCUAAUCUUGAGUAUAGGAGGGGAGAAUGGAACUUCAGGUGGAGCGGUGAAAUGCGUAGAUAUCAGAAGGAACGCCGGCGGCGAAAGCGAUUCUCUGGCCUAUUACUGACACUCAGUGUGCGAAAGCUAGGGGAGCAAACGGGAUUAGAUACCCCGGUAGUCCUAGCCGUAAACGAUGGGCACUAAGUAGAGGGAAUUACCUAUAUUCUCUCUGCCGUAGCUAACGCAUUAAGUGCCCCGCCUGGGGAGUACGGCCGCAAGGCUAAAACUCAAAAGAAUUGGCGGGGGCUCGCACAAGCGGUGGAGCAUGUGGCUUAAUUCGAUGCAACGCGAAAAACCUUACCGGGGCCUGACAUGAUAGAAGUAGGAACCUGAAAGGGGGACGAACGGUAUCCAGUCCGUAACUAUCACAGGUGUUGCAUGGCUGUCGUCAGCUCGUGUCGUGGGACGUUGGGUUAAGUCCCCUAACGAGCGAAACCCUUGUUUUUAGUUGCCAGCGGGUUAUGCCGGGUACUCUAGAAAGACUGCCGUCGUCAAGACGGAGGAAGGUGGGGAUGACGUCAAGUCAUCAUGGCCCUUAUGCCCCGGGCUGCACACGUGCUACAAUGGUCGGUACAGACGGAAGCGAAG